This 441-nucleotide ribosomal RNA is filed under the name uncultured bacterium. Its description in RNAcentral is "partial 16S ribosomal RNA". It matches the Rfam family "Bacterial small subunit ribosomal RNA", at positions 338 to 795 of the family's 1533-position model. The record is from RNAcentral.
CCUACGGGUGACAGCAGUGGGGGAUAUUGCACAAUGGGGGAAACCCUGAUGCAGCGACGCCGCGUGGGUGAAGAAGUAUUUCGGUAUGUAAAGCCCUAUCAGCAGGGAAGAAAGAAGACGGUACCUGACUAAGAAGCCCCGGCUAACUACGUGCCAGCAGCCGCGGUAAUACGGAGGGGGCGAGCGUUAUCCGGAUUCACUGGGUGUAAAGGGAGCGUAGACGGCCGUGCAAGCCAGGAGUGAAAGCCCGGGGCCCAACCCCGGGACUGCUCUUGGAACUGUGCGGCUGGAGUGCGGGAGGGGCAGGCGGAAUUCCUGGGGUAGCGGUGAAAUGCGUAGAUAUCAGGAGGAACACCGGCGGCGAAGGCGGCCUGCUGGACCGCGACUGACGUUGAGGCUCGAAAGCGUGGGGAGCGAACAGGAUUAGAUACCCUUGUAGUC